RNAcentral lists this ribosomal RNA (321 nucleotides) under uncultured eukaryote. Its description in RNAcentral is "partial 18S ribosomal RNA". It matches the Rfam family "Eukaryotic small subunit ribosomal RNA", at positions 1470 to 1796 of the family's 1831-position model. The record is from RNAcentral.
CCCUUAGAUGUCCUGGGCCGCACGCGCGCUAUACUGACAUGUUCAACAAGCCUCCUAGUUCGACAGGAUUUGGGAAAUCUUUGAACGCAUGUCGUGAUAGGGAUAGAUCAUUGCAAUUAUUGAUCUUGAACGAGGAAUUCCUAGUAAACGCGAGUCAUCAGCUCGCAUUGAUUACGUCCCUGCCCUUUGUACACACCGCCCGUCGCACCUACCGAUUGAAUGUUUCGGUGAAGAUUCCGGAUAGGACUUUUUUGAUUUAUUUCAAUUUUGUCUUAAAAGCUAUCUAAACCUCAACAUUUAGAGGAAGGUGAAGUCGUAACA